RNAcentral lists this long non-coding RNA (2355 nucleotides) under Hordeum vulgare. Its description in RNAcentral is "long non-coding RNA (HVUL_LNC002684)". Lineage: Eukaryota; Viridiplantae; Streptophyta; Magnoliopsida; Poales; Poaceae. The record is from RNAcentral.
CACCUCCCGUCCAGCUAGAGGAGGGGAGGAUACGGGACUCUUCCCCUGCCGCGUGUCACUCCCCCGCGGGGCGGCCCGGGCGCGAAACCCUAGCCACAGCAGGAAGCCCAACCCCACCACCCCUUCCCCCGCGGGGCGGCCCGGGCGCGAAACCCUAGCCACCGCAGGAAGCCCAACCCCACCACCCCUUCCCCCGCCGCAACCGGUGAGCAUCGCUGGGCAAAGCCCGCGCGACGUCAGCUACGGCGGGCCUGUUUCUUCCCUCGAGCCUGGAGUAGGAGUUGUGCGGGGCUGCUCAUCUGGGCUGAGGAGGCACAGGACGGCGCGGGAUUUAGGACGCGUGUGCGGCCUUGCGUGCGCUGGAGGCGGGACUACGCGGCCUGGCGCAAUCUGGAGGCGGGGCGGGGUGGCACGGUCUAGCUCGCUGUGGCUGGAGGGUGCGUGUGUGGAGUCUGGGCACUGGCGCGGCGGCCCCAGCGGAUCUCAACGGGUAUGUGCUUUCACGGUUGCGAGGGCAGCUUGGGAGUCGGCGAUGGAAUACGGUGGCGGCGGAUCUGGGGUUCUCUUUGCCUAGAUCCAUUUGCCGCGGAUGGUGGUGGCUCGGGCGCCGACCGGCGGCCUGGACGACGAUGGAUCUCUCCACCGACAUGGUUGGGGAAGGCCGGAGAUGCAGGUGCGUGGUGGGUCUGGGCAUGGACCAGAUUUGGUCGUCCCUGACUCGCGAUCGGCGUGGCUGGGUGUGGCAGCAUGUUGCGGUGGCCGAGGAUCCGUCCCGGGCUUGGUCUCCGUGGCAUCUGGCGCAACAGUGGUGGUGGUGUUCGUGUAGUGAUGAUGGAUUUUGUGCUACAAGAUGUGCUCUCCUCCCGCUGCGGUGGUCGGCUUGUUCAAGAAGCUUCAGUGGACUUUGGGAUUCGUGGUCUGGGGUUAGGAGAAAUCCUUGCUUCGGGUUUCUGAGGCUGACAAUGGCGACGCCCGUGGGUGCCGUUCCCUUCCUGGAGGCGUUGUCUUGACCUUGAUUCGUCCCCCUCUCGUGCUCAGGGGAAACCCUUGGUCCGACCUUCGGACUGGGUGAUGGCGGCGUCACGACGUCGUCGUUUCCUCCUUGGAGGCAUCGUCUUGUAGCUCAAGGAGUCCCGUUAGUGUGGCUCGAGCCGGUAUCGACAAUUGCUCUGGGUGUGAGCCUUCGAGGCGCAAUGAACAUCAUCACCUACGCUCUCUCGACAACGCCUUAUCUAGGUCCGCCCGGACCUUGCCAUCCACCUGCCGACUUUCUCUUGGCGUAAUGGGUCGGGUACGUUGGUUUGUCUUGCCCUCGGGUUUUGGUCAUGUUGUAGAGGUCGUAGGCGUUGGUUGUGAGGCGGCUUGGUUGCUCUGUGUGGGUGCUAAUGUUCGUGAUUAGGGUUGUAAUGGUUGUAAGGCGUUGUAACCUGCUUCUUUACCGCUUCUUCUCUCAUGCAAUGAUACGCAUGCUUAUGCGUAUUUUAAAACAAAUAAGUUGGCCACUACUCUGAUGGUAACCUGCUUCUUUACCGCUUCUUCUCUCAUGCAAUGAUACGCAUGCUUAUGCGUAUUUUAAAACAAAUAAGUUGGCCACUACUCUGAUGAGGAGGAGAAAAGUCGUCUAGGCCACUAUUUCUCGGUUCCUAAAGGAUGUCUGAGAUCCGUCAUCACAGGAGUCGAUCGCUGUAGAUCCUAGCAUGGUGCCUUAUUUGUUACUCCAGAUGGCAUCCGUUGGUGGCGCCGUGUGCGACGUAAGUUCGCGCCACAUGUUCGCGACGUCACCACAUUAGCUAUGCCCCUCAGAGGGCCCCAUUCAUAGUAGUGUGGUUGGCAUGCAUGGUCCAAAACUAUAACCUUAGUUGCCAUUAAUGAGCAAUAUAUGGGAGUACAUAGACUCAAUUAAUAGAAGUGCAUAUAAAACCAUAUGUAUAAGUCACAAAUGACCAUGAGUAGAUUUUUUUCUUAAAAUACAAUAAUUUAUUGUUAUAUUUACAUUAAUUUUUAAAUGUUUUUUUGCCUCAAAGGAAUAUGAGUGAUGAAUUUAGAGGAUGAUUCGGGAAGGAGUAGUUGCAUGGAAAGUACAACACUCUAAGACACUGAUAAAUUUCACGUCGAAAUCAGAUGGCCUGCACCACAUAGGAAGAGCCAACCUCCACAACAAUGAGGAUCGAUGUGUUACUGUCCCCAUACUGCUCGACGAGGAGGUACUGCCAUCGGCUUCAGGUCUUUUACGGCAACCAACAAUACAUGUCGGCUAUUAUAUUUGUACUGAACUUUCAUAUUUCCUUAUAAUUCAUUUACUUAAAUGCAUAUGCUUGACUAUUAUGUAUUUAUAUUAAACAACAUAUAUAAUAG